RNAcentral lists this ribosomal RNA (380 nucleotides) under uncultured soil bacterium. RNAcentral's name for it is "bacterial SSU rRNA". It matches the Rfam family "Bacterial small subunit ribosomal RNA", at positions 26 to 410 of the family's 1533-position model. The record is from RNAcentral.
AGAUUGAACGCUGGCGGCGUGCCUAACACAUGCAAGUCGAUCGGUAACAGGUGUAGCAAUACAUGCUGACGAGAGGCGGACGGGUGAGUAACGCUUGGGAAUCUGCCUAUUAGUGGGGGACAACCCGGGGAAACUCGGGCUAAUACCGCAUACGCUCUACGGAGGAAAGCCGGGACCGCAAGGCCUGGCGCUAAUAGAUGAGCCCAAGUCGGAUUAGCUAGUUGGUAGGGUAACGCCUACCAAGGCGACGAUCCGUAGCUGGUCUGAGAGACGACCAGCCACACUGGGACUGAGACACGGCCCAGACUCCUACGGGAGGCAGCAGUGGGAAUAUUGGACAAUGGGGGAAACCCUGAUCCAGCGACGCCGCGUGGGUGAAG